RNAcentral lists this unclassified non-coding RNA (335 nucleotides) under soil metagenome. Its description in RNAcentral is "partial contains 5.8S ribosomal RNA, internal transcribed spacer 2, and large subunit ribosomal RNA". The stretch from base 1 to 120 matches the Rfam family "5.8S ribosomal RNA", at positions 35 to 154 of the family's 154-position model. The record is from RNAcentral.
GAUGAAGAACGUAGUGAAAUGCGAUAAGUAAUGUGAAUUGCAGAAUUCAGUGAAUCAUCGAAUCUUUGAACGCACAUUGCGCCCAUUAGCAUUCUAGUGGGCAUGCCUGUUCGAGCGUCAUUUCAACCCUUAAGCCCUGUUGCUUAGCGUUGGGAGCCUACAGUACUGUAGCUCCCCAAAGUUAGUGGCGGAGUCGGUUUCACACUCUAGACGUAGUAAUUUUUUCUCGUCUGUAGUUGAGCCGGUCCCCUGCCGUAAAACACCCCAUUUAUCAAGGUUGACCUCGGAUCAGGUAGGAAUACCCGCUGAACUUAAGCAUAUCAAUAAGCGGAGGA